Molecule: non-coding RNA, 885 nt
Organism: Pelobates cultripes (western spadefoot toad)
Lineage: Eukaryota; Metazoa; Chordata; Amphibia; Anura; Pelobatidae
Source: the annotation of a GenBank genome assembly
GGGGGCGGAGCCUAACCGCCGAGCUGGAAGGACGCGUUGAACACCAGCUCCUGCCUGAACGCAACAAAAACAAGGGUAAAUACCCCGAAAAUCGGUGCGUCCACCAGCUGGAGGGUAUGAGACAGAGUGGGGACACCCAGGAGCACAAAAUGAUACCAAACUCGAGUACCCCACAGCCCGGAAACCCACAAAAAGCACCUGAGGCCUACCAGCGACUGAGCCGGGGAGAGGCGGCCGCUCUCCUCGAAGACACAGCCGCGCAUAGAACCCUCGGCGCACCCGCCUCCCUCCCCCCCCCACCAGGACCGGCGGGGGUCAUCCCGGUCCACACUAGACACCAGGGCUGCCAACUGACACAGCCUACCAAGCCUGUACCAAUACCUCACAGAGACAGCUCCUCGCAUGGCGAGUCCAAGAUGGCAGCUGGCGGCAAGAGGCACACGGCAAGCACACAAGCGAAGUUGGCGAACAUAGUACCAAUAAAACCUACUGGAGGCCCACAGGAACCUCUUGAAAAACGGCUAGAUGAGCUCUUUCGUGCCUUCUGGCUGAAGCUCGAACACAGACAAGCUCUGACCGCAGAGAAAAGCAGAGAAGAUGGAGCACAGAGGCUCCAGCUCUGCACAGCUAUGCUGUCCACAGCCUGCUCAGCAAACCCUGGGAGGAAAGCCCGCCAAACCACAGCCCGUCCACGUCCUGUGAAACGCAGUACCUACUCGCCUAAACAGAAAACUAAACGGAGGACACACUGGAUACAAGCUACACGCCACCGGCGGGAACAACCUUGCCCUCAAACCAAGCAUACUGCCAGCUGGGACACCGCUCGUGGAACUAAGAGGGACCGAAGAGCUGGGAACUACACAGGUGCCCUCGCAGAGGCCUGGG